Molecule: long non-coding RNA, 3306 nt
Filed under: Homo sapiens (human)
Lineage: Eukaryota; Metazoa; Chordata; Mammalia; Primates; Hominidae
Description: HSALNT0104332
Source: RNAcentral
CCGAGUCCGGGCUGGAGCGUGAUCUGGAAUCCGGCUCUCUUGAAACAGCACCGCGGAGGAUUCGGAUCCGGUUUGGCCUCCAUGAAAGACUGGAGUGACCUUCACUGAAAUGAUACAAGGGGCCCAGGGAGCUGCGGCGCUCAGAAUGCGGUGACAGCGCCGCCUCGCGUCCCUUCCCUGACCUGCUCCCGGCGGACGCGGAGAAGUUUGUUGGCCUGGAGGCUGGAAUAUACCGGGGAUCAAAUGCAGAGAAUGGAGAAAAGAGGGAAGGAUGGGGGGACGUGUUGAAGAAAUGAGGGAAGAGAUAGGAAGAAAAGGGGAGAGAAAAAGUAAAGGAGAGUUUUUUUGUUUUUUGUUUUUUUUUUUUGAGACGGAGUCUUGCUCUGUCGCCCAGGCUGGAGUGCAGUGGCGCGAUCUUGGCUCACUGCAAGCUCCGCCUCCCGGGUUCAGGGCAUUCUGCUGCCUCAGCCUCUGGAGUAGCUGGGACUACAGGCUCCUGCCACCACGCCCGACUAAUUUUUUGUAUUUUUAGUAGAGACGGGGUUUCACUGUGUUAGCCAGGAUGGUCUCGAUCUCCUGACCUCGUGAUCUGCCUGCCUUGGCCUCUCAAAGUGCUGGGAUUACAGGCGUGAGCCACCGCACCCGGCCGGAGAGAGAAAAUUUAAAAGACGUAGUUUCAUUAUUUCUUUUAUUUUUGCCCUUUAUCUAGUUUUACUUAUGAACAUUUUUACCACAAAUUUCUCUCUCUCUAAAUCUGUAAAUAUGCUGCUAUUAUUGUUAUUUCAGAGCCUGUGAGGGUAAGUUGCAGACAGCAUGACCCUCUACCUCCAGAUGUGUCAGGGUGUGUCUCCUGGGCACAAGAACAGGGUUUUUGUUUUGUUUUGUUUCACAUAAGCAAAGUACAAGUCUCAAAGAGGAUAAUAUUUUUAAAUCAUCUUAUUGGGACAUACUUUGCAUGCAAUAAACUGCAUCUAUUUAAAAUGUUCAACUUGUUGAAUUUUAGCUGUUGUACACACCCACAUCUCCACUACCACAGUGAAGAUAAAGAAGAUUUUAAUCGUCUCCCAAAGAACAGCUACACGAUAAAAUUCUAUGUUGUCAUUAAAAAGAGUAAGAGCAAUUUUAAGUAUUGCUAUGAAAAGAUGUGCCCAGCAUACUUUUAACCUUUUUUAAAAGGUUAAGGAGGCUGGGCACAGUGGCUCAUACCUGUAAUCCCAGAACUUUGGGAGGCUAUGGCAGGCAGAUAACCUGAGGUCAGAAGUUCAAGAUCAGCCUGGCCAACAUGGUGAAACCCUGUCUCUACUGAAAAUGCAAAAAUUAGCCGGGCGUGGUGGUGGGUGCCUGUAGUUCCAGCUGUUUGGGAGGCUGAGGCAGGAGAAUCGCUUGAAUCUGGGAGGUAGAGGUUAGAGUGAGCCGAGAUCAUGCCACUGCAUUCCAGCCUGGGCGAAAAUGCCACUAAUAUCACUUACAUAAUAUUAAUAUAUAUUUGAAGUAGGGGAAAACCUGGAAGAUUCCUCACCAAAGUUUUGACAGUGACUCCAGAGACUGGGAUAACUUUGUGACUUUCAUUUCCUCUUAAAUGUUGUGCCAGGGUCUGACCGGCAGACCCAGGCUGCACGAUGGAUGAAUAAUGUACUCAGACACCGAUAUUCAGUGAAAGAGUGCACCAGAGGGCCAGGCCACUCACAGAAAGGGUUGUGGCAGCUGCGUGCCCUGACUAUCUGGCCCUGUGGGCCUUUAUUCAGCACAGAUUUAAUGACAAAGGCUUUGAGUCAACACACCUGUGGGUAAUUAAUCUGGUCGCAGUCCCCCGGAGAGAGCAGUCCUACAAAUGAUCAAAGGAGCUGGGACAGUUAUAUUCAUCAGAACAGCACGGUGUCAAGGCCCUCACCCCCAGAAAGCUUAGGAGACACUGUUUUAUGGAGGAGAGUGAGAUUGGAGGAAGCCCUGACUCCAGGUCUCCUGAUCCUUCCUACACAAAGCGAAGCUGAAAAAAAGUGCAGGACACUCCAUUUCCUCCUGGGACCAGACAGGGAAGCCAGAGCCACCAUGGAUGUCAAAUUCCGGCAAGGAAACACCAGUAUAGCAAAAUCUCCACAUCACAUUUUAAAGCUCACACAAUGGCUCAAAGAGAACCCACAUCAAAAAACCGAAUUCCUAGCUCAGGUGAGAUCACCAAAGUUGCCUGUGAGGCUUCGUGGAACCUGCAGGUAGAAAGGACAUCUUUAUUUCGAGCUGCAGCCCAGUUGCUUCUGCGUCUUGGAGCCCCUUGAAAGGACCCUCUCCCUUCAACAGUACAUAGGGAGGCCAUUUCUGGGGAGAAAUGUAGACUGUCCUUAGACUCCUGAGGUUUUUACACUUGCUUGCUGACUCUGUGGACUUUGACUUCAUCAUUAAACAUCUUAUAAUGAUGUAAUUUGCUUUGACUGUAAGUGUAGAACAGGACGCUGUUCCUGAAUCAGGAAACAAGGGACUGGUGACCUGAACUGCCACCACCCUCCCUGGUGCUCAGAUGCAAUGAAAUCGUGAGGCAACAAAUCUAUGGCUAGGUAAAGGGUCAACUCCAUUUCAGCAAAUGUUUCAGAUGUUCCUUCCUGCCUAGUAAUGUUCCAGCUUUACCCCAGCCUUAAUCUUUUAAAAUGUAUAUUUUCCUUAGCGUUGAUUUUAAAGUAAUUCGUAUGUAUUUAUUACACUGGGUUUGUUGCAGUAAGCCACCUCGAAUGUUGCUGUAGAAUUAAAGUAAGCAAAUAAAUGUGUGGUUCUCCAAGGAGUUAUUGCUAACACCAUCUUAAAAAUGUAUUAACCCCAAAUCCAAUCACUUCUCACUCCUCUACUGCCUCCUCCCCAGGGCCAUCCUCUCCAAGAUAGUAAACCAGAAGGCCUUCCAGCUGGGCUGCCUGCUGACUCUCACACCCGCUGUCCAUCACCCACACAAUAGUCAGAGUGAGCAUUUCAAAUGGGAAUUAGAGCUCAUCCUCGCCUCCGCGUCCCACAGACAUGCCAGCCUCUUCCCUUCUUAGCACAGUGAAACCCCAGUCUCUCACUAUGUUUUACAGCCCCUCAUCCCUCAUCACAGGAUCCUUCUGGCCACUCUGGCCUCAUCCCACCCCUCUCGGCCCAGCUCAUUCAUCUCCACUAACACUGCUCAAUCCUGUCUCAGGCACCUCCCACUGGAACUCCCCAAGUGCACCUGCUCCCCAGGGAUCCAAAGGGAUCCAAAGGCCCCUCACACCAUUCAGGUCUCUGCUCAGACGUCCAGUGUUCAAAUUCCCAGGAACAUCUUGAUCAACAGACUAUAUCUCCUAC